GCGCGAAACCUUCGCAAUGCGCGAAAGCGUGACGAGGGAACUCAGAGUGCCGAGCUUAGCGCUCGGCUUUUCUCGAGCCCAAACAGCUCGAGGAAUAAGUGUUGGGCAAGACCGGUGCCAGCCGCCGCGGUAACACCGGCAACACAAGUGGUAUCCACGAAUAUUGGGUCUGAAGAGUCCGUAGCUGGCCCGUUAAGUUCUUUGUGAAAUGUUGGGGCUCAACCUCAACGCGUGCAGGGAAUACUGGCGUGGCUCGGGAGCGGGGGAGGUCGAGAGUACUUACGGGGUAGGGGUAAAAUCCGUUAAUCCUGUAAGGACUCCCAGUGGCGAAGGCGCUCGACCAAAACGCGUCCGACAGUGAGGGACGAAGGCUAGGAGAACGAAUCGG
This 388-nucleotide ribosomal RNA is filed under the name uncultured bacterium. Its description in RNAcentral is "bacterial SSU rRNA". It matches the Rfam family "Archaeal small subunit ribosomal RNA", at positions 339 to 727 of the family's 1478-position model. The record is from RNAcentral.